GUCAAAGCCAAGUUCUUCUUUCUGCAAAAUUAACACAAAAUUAUAUGCAUUUUUGAGAUGUAGAAAGCAAUCAUAAAAUGCCAUGAUGUGCCAUCAAGUCAGCACAAUCAGCAUAUAUUUGUAGAAUGCAGAAUGUUAGGCUCCUUUUAAAGGGAAAAAAAACUGAAUCAGCUGAUAAUCUUACGUUUAUACUUAUACACCAGAUGAGAGUAAUUCCAACAAAACCAAAUUCUUCAGAUCCUACUGAUGAAUAGAAGCAGUAUAGACAUCAAAUUACACAUGGCCAACAGUGAAGCACUGCACCUAGAUGGACUUGACAUUGAUAUAU
Molecule: unclassified non-coding RNA, 328 nt
Filed under: Hevea brasiliensis (rubber tree)
Lineage: Eukaryota; Viridiplantae; Streptophyta; Magnoliopsida; Malpighiales; Euphorbiaceae
Source: RNAcentral